This 253-nucleotide ribosomal RNA is filed under the name uncultured bacterium. RNAcentral's name for it is "partial 16S ribosomal RNA". It matches the Rfam family "Bacterial small subunit ribosomal RNA", at positions 524 to 776 of the family's 1533-position model. The record is from RNAcentral.
GACGAACCGUCCGAACGUUAUUCGGAAUCACUGGGCUUAUAGGGCGCGUAGGCGGGAUCGUAAGUCAGGGGUGAAAUCCCACGGCUCAACCGUGGAAGUGCCUUUGAUACUGCGGACCUCGAGGUGGGCAGGGGCGUGCGGAACUUCCGGUGGAGCGGUGAAAUGCGUAGAUAUCGGAAGGAACACCGGUGGCGAAAGCGGCACGCUGGGCCCGUACUGACGCUGAGGCGCGAAAGCCAGGGUAGCAAACGGG